CUUCGACCUUAGACCGAGAGCUAAGCCCGGCGCAGGCGCGCUCCCCGCCCCAAUUGCUCUGCUAGAGAGCGCGGCGGGCUGUGGGCGUCCUGAGCGGGAAAAACUCAGUGUGAUGAAGGAUGGUGCUGUAUCCUGUGUCCUUCUCCGAUCCUACUGCUGUCUCUCUGCACUAGGUGAGUGCCUCGCUACCUACAGUAUCCAGAGCACUGAUUUGCCACCUUAACACUGCUCACAGCACCUAUGAUGAUUCCUAUAGGUUUGGAAGGCUGCCCAUAUUCCUUGGCAUAAAGCUGCCUUCCUCUGUCUUCAAAGCCACCAACAUCAAGCCAAGUCUUUCUCAUGCUGCCAUUUCUCAAUUUCUCUUCCAAUUUUGAGGACCUUUGUGAUUAUAUUGGGAUCACCCGGAUAAUCCAGAACAACUGCUCUUAAAUUUAGUUG
Long non-coding RNA from Heterocephalus glaber (naked mole-rat), 438 nucleotides. Lineage: Eukaryota; Metazoa; Chordata; Mammalia; Rodentia; Bathyergidae. The record is from Ensembl.